AGAGUUUGAUCCUGGCUCAGGAUGAACGCUAGCUACAGGCUUAACACAUGCAAGUCGAGGGGAAACGGACAUCGAAAGCUUGCUUUUGAUGGGCGUCGACCGGCGCACGGGUGAGUAACGCGUAUCCAACCUGCCCAUCACUUGGGGAUAACCUUGCGAAAGUAAGACUAAUACCCAAUGAUAUCUCUAGAAGGCAUCUGAAAGAGAUUAAAGAUUUAUCGGUGAUGGAUGGGGAUGCGUCUGAUUAGCUUGUUGGCGGGGUAACGGCCACAAGGCGACGAUCAGUAGGGGUUCUGAGAGGAAGGUCCCCCACAUUGGAACUGAGACACGGUCCAAACUCCUACGGAGGCA
This 351-nucleotide ribosomal RNA is filed under the name uncultured bacterium. Its description in RNAcentral is "bacterial SSU rRNA". It matches the Rfam family "Bacterial small subunit ribosomal RNA", at positions 8 to 350 of the family's 1533-position model. The record is from RNAcentral.